ACCCGCUGAACUUAAGCAUAUCAAUAAGCGGAGGAAAAGAAACCAACAGGGAUUGCCUUAGUAACGGCGAGUGAAGCGGCAACGGCUCAAAUUUGAAAUCUGGCCUCUUUGGGGUCCGAGUUGUAAUUUGCAGAGGGCGCUUUGGCGUUGGCAGCGGUCCAAGUUCCUUGGAACAGGACGUCACAGAGGGUGAGAAUCCCGUACGUGGUCGCUAGCCUUCGCCGUGUAAAGCCCCUUCGACGAGUCGAGUUGUUUGGGAAUGCAGCUCUAAAUGGGAGGUAAAUUUCUUCUAAAGCUAAAUACUGGCCAGAGACCGAUAGCGCACAAGUAGAGUGAUCGAAAGAUGAAAAGCACUUUGGAAAGAGAGUCAAACAGCACGUGAAAUUGUUGAAAGGGAAGCGCUUGCAGCCAGACUUGCCUGUAGUUGCUCAUCCGGGCUUUUGCCCGGUGCACUCUUCUGCGGGCAGGCCAGCAUCAGUUUGGGCGGUUGGAUAAAGGUCUCUGUCAUGUACCUCUCUUCGGGGAGGCCUUAUAGGGGAGACGACAUGCAACCAGCCCAGACUGAGGUCCGCGCAUUUGCUAGGAUGCUGGCGUAAUGGCUGU
This 603-nucleotide ribosomal RNA is filed under the name uncultured fungus. RNAcentral's name for it is "eukaryotic LSU rRNA". It matches the Rfam family "Eukaryotic large subunit ribosomal RNA", at positions 23 to 641 of the family's 3401-position model. The record is from RNAcentral. Lineage: Eukaryota; Fungi.